Molecule: transfer RNA, 72 nt
Filed under: Camelus ferus (Wild Bactrian camel)
Lineage: Eukaryota; Metazoa; Chordata; Mammalia; Artiodactyla; Camelidae
Rfam family: tRNA
About the family: Transfer RNA (tRNA) molecules are approximately 80 nucleotides in length. Their secondary structure includes four short double-helical elements and three loops (D, anti-codon, and T loops). Further hydrogen bonds mediate the characteristic L-shaped molecular structure. tRNAs have two regions of fundamental functional importance: the anti-codon, which is responsible for specific mRNA codon recognition, and the 3' end, to which the tRNAs corresponding amino acid is attached (by aminoacyl-tRNA synthetases). tRNAs cope with the degeneracy of the genetic code in two manners: having more than one tRNA (with a specific anti-codon) for a particular amino acid; and 'wobble' base-pairing, i.e. permitting non-standard base-pairing at the 3rd anti-codon position.
Source: Rfam by way of RNAcentral
GUAGGGAAAGCGCAGUGGCAGAGCACGUUCUUAGAGUGCAUGAGGUCCUGGGUUCAAUCCCCAGUACCUCCA